GGGAACCGUAUGCGGGAAAGCCGCUCGUACGGGUCUGUGGGGGAGCGGGGAGGUAACGAACCGCUCUACCCGGAA
Molecule: unclassified non-coding RNA, 75 nt
Filed under: Mariniphaga anaerophila
Lineage: Bacteria; Pseudomonadati; Bacteroidota; Bacteroidia; Marinilabiliales; Prolixibacteraceae
Source: RNAcentral